UGGUUAAGCUACUAAGAGCACACGGAGGAUGCCUAGGCGCUAGGAGCCGAUGAAGGACGUGGCGAACAACGAAACUGCCUCGGGGAGCUGUAAGCAAGCUUUGAUCCGGGGGUGUCCGAAUGGGGAAACCCAGCUGGGGUAAUUUCCAGUUACUCAUAACUGAAUACAUAGGUUAUGUAGAGGCAUACCAGGGGAACUGAAACAUCUAAGUACCCUGAGGAAGAGAAAACAAUAGUGAUUCCGUCAGUAGCGGCGAGCGAACGCGGAGAAGCCCAAACCAGAGAGCUUGCUCUUUGGGGUUGUGGGACGUCUCACAUGGAGUUACAAAGGAACCGGUUAAGCGAAGAGGUCUGGAAAGGCCCGCCAAAGAAGGUAAAAGCCCUGUAAUUGAAAGUCUGUUCCCUCCGAGACGGAUCCCGAGUAGUGCGGGGCACGUGAAACCCCGUAUGAAUCCGGCAGGACCAUCUGCCAAGGCUAAAUACUUCCUAGCGACCGAUAGUGAAGCAGUACCGUGAGGGAAAGGUGAAAAGCACCCCGGAAGGGGAGUGAAAUAGAACCUGAAACCGUGUGCUUACAAAAAGUCAGAGCCCGUUUUAGGGGUGAUGGCGUGCCUUUUGUAGAAUGAACCGGCGAGUUACGUUCCCGUGCAAGGUUAAGGUGAAGAGCCGGAGCCGCAGCGAAAGCGAGUCUGAAUAGGGCGACUGAGUACGUGGACGUAGACCCGAAACCGGGUGAUCUACCCCUGUCCAGGGUGAAGGUGCGGUAACACGCACUGGAGGCCCGAACCCACGCAUGUUGAAAAAUGCGGGGAUGAGGUGGGGGUAGCGGAGAAAUUCCAAUCGAACUCGGAGAUAGCUGGUUCUCCCCGAAAUAGCUUUAGGGCUAGCCUCGGAAAACAGAGUCGUGGAGGUAGAGCACUGAUUGGGUGCGGGGCCCGCAAGGGUUACCAAGCUCAGUCAAACUCCGAAUGCCAUAGACUUACUUCCGGGAGUCAGACAGUGAGUGCUAAGAUCCAUUGUCAAAAGGGAAACAGCCCAGACCAUCAGCUAAGGUCCCCAAGUGUGUGUUAAGUGGGAAAGGAUGUGGAGUUGCACAGACAACCAGGAUGUUGGCUUAGAAGCAGCCACCAUUGAAAGAGUGCGUAAUAGCUCACUGGUCGAGUGACUCUGCGCCGAAAAUGUAACGGGGCUAAACACACCACCGAAGCUAUGGCUUGAUGCUAUGCAUCAGGGGUAGGGGAGCGUUGUAUAAGGGUUGAAGGUGUACCGUAAGGAGCGCUGGACAUUAUACAAGUGAGAAUGCCGGUAUGAGUAACGAAAAGAUCAGUGAGAAUCUGAUCCGCCGAAAGCCUAAGGGUUCCUGAGGAAGGCUCGUCCGCUCAGGGUAAGUCGGGACCUAAGGCGAGGCCGAAAGGCGUAGUCGAAGGACAACAGGUCGAAAUUCCUGUACCACCGUAAGCCGUUAUGAGCAAUGGGGGGACGCAGUAGGGUAGUGACGC
Molecule: ribosomal RNA, 1498 nt
Filed under: Subtercola boreus
Lineage: Bacteria; Bacillati; Actinomycetota; Actinomycetes; Micrococcales; Microbacteriaceae
Description: bacterial LSU rRNA
Rfam family: Bacterial large subunit ribosomal RNA
Source: RNAcentral